CCACCAGCGCCCAAGGAAACCCUAGCCCUUCUCCCUCCCUCGGGCCGCCUCCCUUUCCCCCUCACGUUCUCUUCUCUAUGUAAGCAAACGAAGGAGAAAAGGACCCCCACAGCACCUCCUCCACCUCGCCAUGGUGCCGCUGCUCCAAGGCUCCCCUCGCCACUCCGAGACCACCCACAGAACCGCCUCGGCGUCCUCUAUAUCCUCCCCAAAGGAAUCAAGCCGGGGUGCUCUUAAUCGUUUCCAAAUUCGCCGUUUCUUCGCCGACUCCGGUGACAAAAUUCUUCAAAUUCCGGCGCUGUUCGACCUCCCCUAGCCCGCCCGAGGACACCAACGCGUUCUUGGAGAGAAACCGCAUCUCCCUGACCCCUUCCCGCUCCUCCUCCUUCUCUGGUUUGUUUCCCCCGACCUUGACCGCCAUUAGCUGCCGCAGGAGCUCAACACCGGCGAUACUCCGGCGACCCCCUGGACUCCUCACCGCCACCAUCGUGCUCCCCAAGUUCACCCACAUCCCCGGCACCAUCUUCCCCUUCCAGGUUCGCCUUGAAGGGUCGGAUUGAUUCACAACUUCUGUCUCCGCCAUGGCUGUAAUGUUGAAGCUCGUCCCUGGCAUCGCUUGGUUCAACUUGUCACGCGCCAGCAUAUUGACAAGAUCUGAACAGUAGCCCAGUGUGCUUCAUUCGGUGAGAAGACCUGCAGCAGUGCCGCCUCGUCAGCGCGUCCAGUCAGCAUCCCUGGUCCCGCAAGUCAGCCCCUGAGGCUAGAACCUCCUCGCAUUUGCUUCUUACCGGGUAGGAUCACGAAGUGGUCCCCGUCUGUCAUUGACCUUGGCUAGUGCUUCAUUCGGUGAGAAGACCUGCAGCCGUGCCGCCUCGUCAGCGCGUCCAGUCAGCAUCCCUGGUCCCGCAAGUCAGCCCCUGAGGCUAGAUCCUUCUCGUGCCGCCUCGUCAGCGCGUCCAGUCAGCAUCCCUGGUCCCGCAAGUCAGCCCCUGAUGCUAGAACCUCCUCGCAUUUGCUUCUUACCGGGUAGGAUGACGAAGUGUUGAUGUGAGAUACGACGAGUUCUCUGACAAGUGCUUCGGCAGGUUUUCACAGGCGAGCCCUCUCUCUUCACCUAUUUUACUCUCUCCCUCGCACUGCUAUCCUUAUGUUGCGCUUCUUUAUCGAGUCACGUGCCCUAUUCCACUUGUUUACCAUAAUAAUCCUAUAUGUAUCAUUCCUUACCCAUAGCCGUUGCUUGAUGUUUGAGCCUUGCGAGUCGUAGGCGUGUUUAGGAUCUGUUGUUUAUCUCGAUCUAUUAUCGGGAUAUCUUGGGUUAUUGGGAGGUUAUCACAUGCUAUAUCAGUUGUUGGAGAUACUCAUGAUUUACUUUAUUGUUAACAACUAAAAUUGUAAGCAGAGGCAUCUGUGAGCCCCUUUGCGAAAGCAUCGGAACCUCGACUUGCUAAUGUCCCCUAGGACCCGAGUUCUUGUUAUCUAUUCCGAGAUUGAGCGCUCUACCCGUACGUGGGGGAGUGGGACCCCCAUCACCCACUACCUUUCCUCGAGUCUGUUUAUUGGGAGCCACAACCUUGGUUUUAUUUGCCCAUAUGCACGAUGCACGAUUUACUUCCUGUUGCCUUCGGGUGUUUAUAUUAUGUACUGUACUCAUAUCGUGGAAUGAUUAGCGACAGCAGGUUGUUCACACUUAGCUUAGCCGUUGGCACAAACCUCUAGGUCCGUAUCGGAGUACGGCCGAACUUCGUCACGGGUAGCUUAGUGGGGUGGCUCCCCUUAAACUUUCUCUUGCAUUGGGAAUGGUCUUGAUGUGAGACUCCACCUGUAGUAAGUGGGUUCGAGCAUGCGUAUGGUUACAUUUGGGCAACCCCUGCAGGGUGUACAUCUUAUCGAUAAGCCGUGUCCGCGGUUAUGGACGACUUGGAAUUGUAUGGCUUGAUCAUAGAACAACUUACAUCUUUAUGUUGCUGCUAAUAACUUGAUAAUAACUUGCGUAGUAAUAUAGCAUUACUACAACGGCUACCUAAUAAAACUUUCCACCGUUGAGUGCCUUUUACAUUGCCUCUUCGCUUUGUUGAAGGGGAUAUGUGUAAUCGGCUGGGUUAUGUUUGUGUAGUAUUUACCUGUUACCUUAUGCGCUCUCUUAUCUUCUCUGAUUAGACGGAUGUUGUAGCGUGUUUCUAUUGGUAAUAGUUAUGCUGCCGCUAAACCUACCAUAUAGCCCCCAAUGAUAUAUAUAUAUAUACUCGCCCGGCGAGCAUAGCCAUUUCUAGUCUCGCUAAGUACGUGCUGGAGUUCUUUCCUUGGUACUUACUCUCGCCUUUUCCCUUUCUCUUUUGCUUCCUCCCUUUUGCCGGCAACCGAUGGCCCGACUUUGACAGGUACGAGAUGACGACAUUAGCAAGGUUACCCUUCCGGCUUGGCCUGGGCAGGGUUAUGGACGCCACUGGUUAUCUUCAGGACUCUUAGUCCAAUUUGUAUCUUGUCCAUACUCGGACGUAUUCGAUCUUUUGUAUGAUUUUGAUCUUUGUAUUGUAUAUUUGUAUCUUGACUCGUUGGAGUCAUUGUUGUAAUAUAUGUAUCUUGUGGGCUCUAUUGUAAUCCUGUUGUAAUGUUACCGCUCGUGUUAAUUCCUCUGGCAUCUCGUGUGUGAUUUGUCGCGCACGUCGUGUCGGAGGGCGUCUC
Non-coding RNA from Lolium perenne, 2682 nucleotides. Lineage: Eukaryota; Viridiplantae; Streptophyta; Magnoliopsida; Poales; Poaceae. The record is from RefSeq and is a predicted model, not a curated record.